RNAcentral lists this ribosomal RNA (2931 nucleotides) under Staphylococcus epidermidis. RNAcentral's name for it is "23S ribosomal RNA". It matches the Rfam family "Bacterial large subunit ribosomal RNA". The record is from RNAcentral. Lineage: Bacteria; Bacillati; Bacillota; Bacilli; Caryophanales; Staphylococcaceae.
AGAUUAAGUUAUUAAGGGCGCACGGUGGAUGCCUUGGCACUAGAAGCCGAUGAAGGACGUUACUAACGACGAUAUGCUUUGGGUAGCUGUAAGUAAGCGUUGAUCCAGAGAUUUCCGAAUGGGGGAACCCAACAUGAGUUAUGUCAUGUUAUCGACAUGUGAAUUCAUAGCAUGUCAGAAGGCAGACCCGGAGAACUGAAACAUCUUAGUACCCGGAGGAAGAGAAAGAAAAAUCGAUUCCCUGAGUAGCGGCGAGCGAAACGGGAAGAGCCCAAACCAACAAGCUUGCUUGUUGGGGUUGUAGGACACUCUAUACGGAGUUACAAAAGAACAUGUUAGACGAAUCAUCUGGAAAGAUGAAUCAAAGAAGGUAAUAAUCCUGUAGUCGAAAACAUAUUCUCUCUUGAGUGGAUCCUGAGUACGACGGAGCACGUGAAAUUCCGUCGGAAUCUGGGAGGACCAUCUCCUAAGGCUAAAUACUCUCUAGUGACCGAUAGUGAACCAGUACCGUGAGGGAAAGGUGAAAAGUACCCCGGAAGGGGAGUGAAAGAGAACUUGAAACCGUGUGCUUACAAGUAGUCAGAGCCCGUUAAUGGGUGAUGGCGUGCCUUUUGUAGAAUGAACCGGCGAGUUACGAUCUGAUGCAAGGUUAAGCAGCAAAUGUGGAGCCGCAGCGAAAGCGAGUCUGAAUAGGGCGUUGAGUAUUUGGUCGUAGACCCGAAACCAGGUGAUCUACCCUUGGUCAGGUUGAAGUUCAGGUAACACUGAAUGGAGGACCGAACCGACUUACGUUGAAAAGUGAGCGGAUGAACUGAGGGUAGCGGAGAAAUUCCAAUCGAACUUGGAGAUAGCUGGUUCUCUCCGAAAUAGCUUUAGGGCUAGCCUCAAGUGAUGAUUAUUGGAGGUAGAGCACUGUUUGGACGAGGGGCCCCUCUCGGGUUACCGAAUUCAGACAAACUCCGAAUGCCAAUUAAUUUAACUUGGGAGUCAGAACAUGGGUGAUAAGGUCCGUGUUCGAAAGGGAAACAGCCCAGACCACCAGCUAAGGUCCCAAAAUAUAUGUUAAGUGGAAAAGGAUGUGGCGUUGCCCAGACAACUAGGAUGUUGGCUUAGAAGCAGCCAUCAUUUAAAGAGUGCGUAAUAGCUCACUAGUCGAGUGACACUGCGCCGAAAAUGUACCGGGGCUAAACAUAUUACCGAAGCUGUGGAUUGUCCUUUGGACAAUGGUAGGAGAGCGUUCUAAGGGCGUCGAAGCAUGAUCGCAAGGACAUGUGGAGCGCUUAGAAGUGAGAAUGCCGGUGUGAGUAGCGAAAGACGGGUGAGAAUCCCGUCCACCGAUUGACUAAGGUUUCCAGAGGAAGGCUCGUCCGCUCUGGGUUAGUCGGGUCCUAAGCUGAGGCCGACAGGCGUAGGCGAUGGAUAACAGGUUGAUAUUCCUGUACCACCUAGUAUCGUUUUAAUCGAUGGGGGGACGCAGUAGGAUAGGCGAAGCGUGCUGUUGGAGUGCACGUCCAAGCAGUAAGGCUGAGUGUUAGGCAAAUCCGGCACUCAUAAGGCUGAGCUGUGAUGGGGAGAGGAAAUCGUUUCCUCGAGUCGUUGAUUUCACACUGCCGAGAAAAGCCUCUAGAUAGAUAACAGGUGCCCGUACCGCAAACCGACACAGGUAAUCAAGAUGAGAAUUCUAAGGUGAGCGAGCGAACUCUCGUUAAGGAACUCGGCAAAAUGACCCCGUAACUUCGGGAGAAGGGGUGCUCUUUAGGGUUCACGCCCAGAAGAGCCGCAGUGAAUAGGCCCAAGCGACUGUUUAUCAAAAACACAGGUCUCUGCUAAACCGUAAGGUGAUGUAUAGGGGCUGACGCCUGCCCGGUGCUGGAAGGUUAAGAGGAGUGGUUAGCUUCUGCGAAGCUACGAAUCGAAGCCCCAGUAAACGGCGGCCGUAACUAUAACGGUCCUAAGGUAGCGAAAUUCCUUGUCGGGUAAGUUCCGACCCGCACGAAAGGCGUAACGAUUUGGGCACUGUCUCAACGAGAGACUCGGUGAAAUCAUAGUACCUGUGAAGAUGCAGGUUACCCGCGACAGGACGGAAAGACCCCGUGGAGCUUUACUGUAGCCUGAUAUUGAAAUUCGGCACAGCUUGUACAGGAUAGGUAGGAGCCUUUGAAACGUGAGCGCUAGCUUACGUGGAGGCGUUGGUGGGAUACUACCCUAGCUGUGUUGGCUUUCUAACCCGCACCACUUAUCGUGGUGGGAGACAGUGUCAGGCGGGCAGUUUGACUGGGGCGGUCGCCUCCUAAAAGGUAACGGAGGCGCUCAAAGGUUCCCUCAGAAUGGUUGGAAAUCAUUCAUAGAGUGUAAAGGCAUAAGGGAGCUUGACUGCGAGACCUACAAGUCGAGCAGGGUCGAAAGACGGACUUAGUGAUCCGGUGGUUCCGCAUGGAAGGGCCAUCGCUCAACGGAUAAAAGCUACCCCGGGGAUAACAGGCUUAUCUCCCCCAAGAGUUCACAUCGACGGGGAGGUUUGGCACCUCGAUGUCGGCUCAUCGCAUCCUGGGGCUGUAGUCGGUCCCAAGGGUUGGGCUGUUCGCCCAUUAAAGCGGUACGCGAGCUGGGUUCAGAACGUCGUGAGACAGUUCGGUCCCUAUCCGUCGUGGGCGUAGGAAAUUUGAGAGGAGCUGUCCUUAGUACGAGAGGACCGGGAUGGACAUACCUCUGGUGUACCAGUUGUCGUGCCAACGGCAUAGCUGGGUAGCUAUGUAUGGACGGGAUAAGUGCUGAAAGCAUCUAAGCAUGAAGCCCCCCUCAAGAUGAGAUUUCCCAACUUCGGUUAUAAGAUCCCUCGAAGAUGACGAGGUUAAUAGGUUCGAGGUGGAAGCGUGGUGACACGUGGAGCUGACGAAUACUAAUCGAUCGAAGACUUAAUCAAUUUUUAAA